This 303-nucleotide unclassified non-coding RNA is filed under the name Hevea brasiliensis (rubber tree). Lineage: Eukaryota; Viridiplantae; Streptophyta; Magnoliopsida; Malpighiales; Euphorbiaceae. The record is from RNAcentral.
AGCUGCCUCACUCUUAGCUUGCUAUUAAAGGGAGAAAAUCAAUUACCAACAACAUUUACUUGAAUAAAUCAUAACUUAAUUUCGCAGAAAUAUUUACUAUAGCUGAUAAUUAAAAUUCUGCAAAAAAUGAAAAAUAUGUAAUUAAUAUAUGGAGUUCAUCAUAAAAGGACCAAACCACAAUAAUGCUAAAAAUUGUGUCAAGUACAUGUUUGAGGCUAUAUCAGAUCUAUUUAAGAUGUGAAUAACUUUUUUUUUCUUUUGUUCUUUAAGAAUUAGGGGCGAGCAGUUUUCGGUUUAAACCGA